AGUGAACGCUGGCGGUAGGCCUAACACAUGCAAGUCGAGCGGAUGAAGGGUGCUUGCUCCUUGUUUCAGCGGCGGACGGGUGGGUAAGGCCGAGAAACAUGGGUAUCAGUGGGGGCUAACGGGCGGAAACGGGCGCUCAUACCCCAUACGCCCUGACGGAGUAAGGGUGGGAGCUUCGGACCUUCCGCUAUCAGACGAGCCUAGGUCGGAUUAGCUAGUUGGUGGGGUAAAGGCCUACCAAGGCGACGAUCCGUAACUGGUCUGAGAGGAUGAUCAGACACACUGGAACUGAGACACGGUCCAGACUCCUACGGGAGGCAGCAGUGGGGAAUAUUGGACAAUGGGCGAAAGCCUGAUCCAGCCAUGCCGCGUGUGUGAAGAAGGUCUUCGGAUUGUAAAGCCCUUUUGUUUGGGAAGAAAAGCAGUAAGUUAAUACCUUGCUGUUUUGACGUUACCAACAGAAUAAGCACCGGCUAACUUCGUG
RNAcentral lists this ribosomal RNA (484 nucleotides) under uncultured bacterium. RNAcentral's name for it is "partial 16S ribosomal RNA". It matches the Rfam family "Bacterial small subunit ribosomal RNA", at positions 29 to 507 of the family's 1533-position model. The record is from RNAcentral.